UACGUAGGGUGCAAGCGUUGUCCGGAAUUAUUGGGCGUAAAGAGCUCGUAGGCGGUUUGUCGCGUCUGCUGUGAAAAUCCGAGGCUCAACCUCGGACCUGCAGUGGGUACGGGCAAACUAGAGUGCGGUAGGGGAGAUUGGAAUUCCUGGUGUAGCGGUGGAAUGCGCAGAUAUCAGGAGGAACACCAAUGGCGAAGGCAGAUCUCUGGGCCGUAACUGACGCUGAGGAGCGAAAGCGUGGGGAGCGAACAGG
RNAcentral lists this ribosomal RNA (253 nucleotides) under uncultured bacterium. RNAcentral describes it as "partial 16S ribosomal RNA". It matches the Rfam family "Bacterial small subunit ribosomal RNA", at positions 524 to 776 of the family's 1533-position model. RNAcentral also lists the same sequence under 1 other name. The record is from RNAcentral.